UCCCAAAUCCACCGGAAGUUCCAGGAAUCUUCCCGGAAAUCAGUGUCCCCUCCCUGACUCCCGCAAGUGAUCCAUAAUUUACCUGAAAUCGCCCCCCCCCGCUUCCAAAUGUUUCUGUUGGCGACACCCCCAUUCCAACAAAUCAUCAGCGAAGAAUUUAGUUAUAUAACAUGACCUUGAGGCAUCUGAGAAAGUGAGAUUAUUCAACUGGACUGCCUACCACUGUCCUCCCAGCAAGCACGGCCUUUCUCCAUCGCAGUCGCCGCAUCUAGGGAGUCGACAGCGCCUGAAAACCAGGGGCGACGCGCACGCAGCAAGGUGUGGGACAUGGAGGGGAAAACAACCCUGAUCCACAAGGUACUUCAGAACAUCCUCGUUCAGCCUGGACGCACCGUGCACAGGCACUGUUUUCAAUCAGAGAUCGCCUGUUUUCCCGGGAUUAGACCCCUGUGGCUGGAAAACAACCUGACUGAGGCAAAAUACACCGUCACACAUGGGGAUUUUACACUUGAGAGGAACAGCGUCCCUUUUCCUCCCGUGCAGUAUGACGGUCGAGGCCCAUCUCCGGCGCACCGUGGCUGUGCUCGGGCCCCGAGACUCUCCUUCAGCCUGUGCGGAGCCAUCAGAUUGUUAGAAAAGUAAAUCGGGGAGACGGAGCACUAACGCACUCGGCCGUGACUUGUUCAGAAGAGAAAAGAAACUCAUUGGAUUCCCAUGGAAAAUGAGCUGUCCACACUCGCUAGUUUAAUCUUUAUUUUUGUUGGAGUGUGAGAGAGACAGGAUUUUAACACCAUGCGAACAACGCCAGAGUCGCAGACUUCACGCCAUCUGUCUCCCCCGCGGUCCUCAGCUUGCCAAAUUUAUCAGGAUUUUUUUAAAAUCUUUAUUCAUGUUUGUAAGUAUUUUGAGGGAGUUGCAUUAGGAUAUUUCUCUUCUGUCCUUUAGCUGAAGUAAAAUGUAUUUCCACAACUUAAAAUAUAUUUAACCCUUCUUAACUUAACGCACCGCCAAUUAUCCAUUCAGCACAUUAAUAGUAGAAUAAAAUUAAUUGUAUCCAGAUAAUUGACCCACAGCUUAUCAUCCAGUCUAUCACAAUAAUUAGAAAAGACAAGCACUGUAGGACUGAUACAUGGGUCUGAGUGAAAGAGAUAAGCAUAUUUUGUAGAUACGCAAAGACGAUACAAAAAUGAGUUACUCUAAACACAGUGUGGUUACGGGUCAAGUAAAGUGUCCUGUGACUCAGCACAUCUUAAUUAAAUGAUGACAAUUAGAACAGAAAGCUUCUCUAAGAUGUGUUGAUCUAUAUAAAUGAUGUACAGUACUAGCACACAGUAACACAUAACAUACAGACAUUGCAUGAAGGCUGGUAGUUGUUUAUGACGUUCAUUAGUAAAAGUAAAUAAUGCAAACCUUUCAUGUAAUAAGUCAUGCAUUAAACAUUUACUAGUGCAAAGAGUCUUUCAUUAAUGAUGUCAUAAUAUACCCCUAUAUAAAGUACUGCCAACGUUUGCAUGAGGUACAACAAACCCCCAAUCAUACUGUAAAGGAGGAAAGUAGAAGAAAAUAGAGGGAUAAGACGUUUUAACACUCUUGUGUUAAACAAGGGCAAUGCUGUGAGAUUACAUUUAUGGCUCUGAUCAUUGCAAAAAAAAAACUUGGGGCUUCCAGACAAUACUUCUGCCAGCCUGAAAAAAAACAGGCCUGGUCCUGUUCACUGUGUCUCGACUUUGAAUCCAUAUCUGGUUUUACUGGAAUUUGUUCUUCCCCGACACCUUCUGAGAUCAUAAGAAGUAAAAGGCGGCUAUUUGCCCCAUCUUCUUUGGUUGCUGGUAGUUUACCGAUGCAAGAAAUUCCAGGACUCCACAUAAAGGCUCAAUGUUUUUUUCUGCCUUGAAGAUUGCCACCCUGCUUAGAAAUGAGCUAUAGCACUGAGCUACGGCAUUCGUGCAUAUUUCCCUUUUGUAUCGUAAUAACUGCCACUGUUACUCUGCACUUUCAUAGUGACCCAUUUAUAACGUGA
Molecule: long non-coding RNA, 2020 nt
Organism: Lepisosteus oculatus (spotted gar)
Lineage: Eukaryota; Metazoa; Chordata; Actinopteri; Semionotiformes; Lepisosteidae
Source: Ensembl